RNAcentral lists this long non-coding RNA (269 nucleotides) under Eutrema salsugineum. RNAcentral describes it as "long non-coding RNA (ESAL_LNC000815)". Lineage: Eukaryota; Viridiplantae; Streptophyta; Magnoliopsida; Brassicales; Brassicaceae. The record is from RNAcentral.
CCACCGGAGCUUCUUUUUCUUUUUUCACGGCGGGGGCUGCGGCGGCGGCGGAAUCUGUUUUCUCGGCGCGGAUUGCGGUUUUGGUGAAGGAGAGGGAUCUGGGACGGUGGGUUGUUGUGAAAAAGUGGAGUUUCUUUACAUCGGAGGUUGCGGCGGUUGUUAUGGCGGAGCUAAAGAUUCCGGCGGCUUGAGUUGCCAUCUCUUUUUUCUUCUUUUUUCUUUGUUCGUUUUCUUCUCUAAUGAGAAAAUUUUGGUUAAUAGUGUAUUUG